AUAUUGUCCAGAUUUUCAUGAACUAGUUGGUACAUUAAAAAUGUUUUGGCUAGACUUUGGACUUAAGGAUUUCAUUUACUCACAAUUUUACUACAAUUGGUUCUUUGUUGGAGUUAGUUUAUUUAUAUCAAAGUUCAUAUAACAAUUUUUAUCUCCCCAUUGCAGCAAGUGAUCCAUUGCGUAUAAAAUAGCCCUGUUUUAUGUUUAAGAAUUAGCAUGUUUAUAAUUAAUCUCUAUCUAUAUGUUCAUAAUGCUACUCCCAUUGAAGUCUCUAAUGUGGAGUCUCUCUUUUUUUUUUUUUGUGGAUUGUCUUAGUAGUUGAUUUAAUUAAGUC
This 334-nucleotide long non-coding RNA is filed under the name Solanum tuberosum (potato). Its description in RNAcentral is "long non-coding RNA (STUB_LNC001005)". Lineage: Eukaryota; Viridiplantae; Streptophyta; Magnoliopsida; Solanales; Solanaceae. The record is from RNAcentral.